This 630-nucleotide ribosomal RNA is filed under the name Flechtneria rotunda. Its description in RNAcentral is "partial small subunit ribosomal RNA". It matches the Rfam family "Eukaryotic small subunit ribosomal RNA", at positions 464 to 1067 of the family's 1831-position model. The record is from RNAcentral. Lineage: Eukaryota; Viridiplantae; Chlorophyta; Chlorophyceae; Sphaeropleales; Scenedesmaceae.
GGGGCAAGAGAGAAGGCCCGCAGGCGGGCAUGAAUCGGGUACCGGCCUUUAAAAUUCCAUUGGAGGGCAAGUCUGGUGCCAGCCAGCCGCGGGUAAUUCCAGCUCCAAUAGCGUAUAUUUAAGUUGUUGCAGUUAAAAAGCUCGUAGUUGGAUUUCGGGUGGGUCCUACCGGUCCGCUAUGGUAGAGUACUGUUAGGGCCUUCCUUUCUGCCGGUGACGGGUUUCUGGGCUUAAUUGUCCGGGACUCGCGCGUCGGCGUGGUUACUUUCGAGUGAAAUUAGAGUUCUGCAUUUCACCUUGGAACCAUUUUUCCGCUGCGUCUUUUCGGCUUAACCAAGUUUAGCAUGGAAUAACACGAUAGGACUCUGGCCUAUCUUGUUGGGUCUGUAGGACCGGUCCCAAAAUUCACAAAUUUUGGGUUUAAUUCGGUGGUACCACCUUGGUGUAUAAUGUGGCCCAAGGUCCCCCUGGGCCAAGACCCAUUGUCCCCCGCCUUUUCGGGGGCAUUCGUAUUUCAUUGUCAGAGGUGAAAUUUCUUGGAUUUAUAGAAAGACGAACUACUGCGAAAGCAUUUUGCCAAGGAUGUUUCAAACCAUAAACGAUGCCGACUAGGGAUUGGCGAAUGUUUUU